UACGUAGGGUGCAAGCGUUGUCCGGAAUUAUUGGGCGUAAAGAGCUCGUAGGCGGUCUGUCGCGUCGGCUGUGAAAUCCCGGAGCUCAACUCCGGGUCUGCAGUCGAUACGGGCAAACUGGAGUACUGCAGGGGAGACUGGAAUUCCUGGUGUAGCGGUGAAAUGCGCAGAUAUCAGGAGGAACACCUGUGGCGAAAGCGGCGCACUGGACCACAACUGACGCUGAGGCGCGAAAGCUAGGGGAGCAAACAGG
This 253-nucleotide ribosomal RNA is filed under the name uncultured bacterium. Its description in RNAcentral is "partial 16S ribosomal RNA". It matches the Rfam family "Bacterial small subunit ribosomal RNA", at positions 524 to 776 of the family's 1533-position model. The record is from RNAcentral.